UUCAAUUUCUCUCUCAAUUUCUAUAGUGUAGGCCCUAUACCCGAGCAUUAUACCCCCCUAAUUAGCGAAGCUCUGCCUCGUUGUAAGUAUCAUAACCCCUGGAUACGUAUUAGAUACUCUGCCCGAUUAAUCAAGGGUUCCGUAACGGCUGUCGUGGUUCUCCCCGACGUAGUCGUCGGAAUGUCGUCUCGGGGAGGAUUAUAACCAGGAAGUCACAAAGGAAAGCCCUAUAACAGCAAUGUAACUUAGUGUGAAGCCAAUAAAAGCCAGCUGGAGAGCACUGAAGGCUUAAAAAAGUGGCAAUAAAAGUUACCUAAUUA
RNAcentral lists this long non-coding RNA (320 nucleotides) under Helianthus annuus (common sunflower). RNAcentral describes it as "sRNA HanXRQr2_Chr06g0259921". The record is from RNAcentral. Lineage: Eukaryota; Viridiplantae; Streptophyta; Magnoliopsida; Asterales; Asteraceae.